Molecule: ribosomal RNA, 482 nt
Filed under: uncultured bacterium
Lineage: Bacteria
Description: partial 16S ribosomal RNA
Rfam family: Bacterial small subunit ribosomal RNA
Source: RNAcentral
AUUGAACGCUGGCGGCGUGCUCUACACAUGCAAGUCGAACGGUAACAGGCCGCAAGGUGCUGACGAGUGGCGAACGGGUGAGUAAUGCAUCGGAACGUGCCCAGUCGUGGGGGAUAACUACUCGAAAGAGUAGCUAAUACCGCAUACGAUCUAUGGAUGAAAGCGGGGGACCGUAAGGCCUCGCGCGAUUGGAGCGGCCGAUGUCAGAUUAGGUAGUUGGUGGGGUAAAGGCUCACCAAGCCAACGAUCUGUAGCUGGUCUGAGAGGACGACCAGCCACACUGGGACUGAGACACGGCCCAGACUCCUACGGGAGGCAGCAGUGGGGAAUUUUGGACAAUGGGCGCAAGCCUGAUCCAGCAAUGCCGCGUGCAGGAAGAAGGCCUUCGGGUUGUAAACUGCUUUUGUACGGAACGAAACGGCUCUGGUUAAUACCCGGGGCUAAUGACGGUACCGUAAGAAUAAGCACCGGCUAACUACGUG